GGGUGUCCAGGCUCUGUCUGUGCAGAUUUUGGGGUGUCCAGGCUCUGUCUGUGCAGAUUUUGGGGUGCCCAGGCUCUGUCUCUGCAGAUUUUGGGGUGUCCAGGCUCUGUCUCUGCAGGUUUAGGGUGUCCAGGCUCUGUCUGUGCAGAUUUUGGGGUGUCCAGGCUCUGUCUGUGCAGAUUUUGGGGUGUCCAGGCUCUGUCUCUGCAGAUUUUGGGGUGUCCAGGCUCCCUCUGUGCAGAUUUUGGGGU
Long non-coding RNA from Oenanthe melanoleuca, 251 nucleotides. RefSeq lists it as uncharacterized. NCBI's taxonomy places the organism in Eukaryota, Metazoa, Chordata, Aves, Passeriformes, Muscicapidae. The transcript is spliced from 3 exons. The record is from RefSeq and is a predicted model, not a curated record.